This 30-nucleotide non-coding RNA is filed under the name Homo sapiens (human). Lineage: Eukaryota; Metazoa; Chordata; Mammalia; Primates; Hominidae. The record is from RNAcentral.
UUGAAUUGUAAUCCCCAAUGCUGUAGGUGG